Molecule: non-coding RNA, 21 nt
Filed under: Caenorhabditis elegans
Lineage: Eukaryota; Metazoa; Nematoda; Chromadorea; Rhabditida; Rhabditidae
Source: RNAcentral
UGACAAUGUAGUUUUCCAAUA